AUGAACGCUGGCGGCGUGCCUAAUACAUGCAAGUCGAGCGAACAGACGAGGAGCUUGCUCCUUUGACGUUAGCGGCGGACGGGUGAGUAACACGUGGAUAACCUACCUAUAAGACUGGGAUAACUUCGGGAAACCGGAGCUAAUACCGGAUAACAUGUUGAACCGCAUGGUUCAACAGUGAAAGACGGUCUUGCUGUCACUUAUAGAUGGAUCCGCGCCGCAUUAGCUAGUUGGUAAGGUAACGGCUUACCAAGGCAACGAUGCGUAGCCGACCUGAGAGGGUGAUCGGCCGCACUGGAACUGAGACACGGUCCAGACUCCUACGGGAGGCAGCAGUAGGGAAUCUUCCGCAAUGGGCGAAAGCCUGACGGAGCAACGCCGCGUGAGUGAAGAAGGUCUUCGGAUCGUAAAACUCUGUUAUUAGGGAAGAACAAAUGUGUAAGUAACUAUGCACGUCUUGACGGUACCUAAUCAGAAAGCCACGGCUAACUACGUG
This 496-nucleotide ribosomal RNA is filed under the name uncultured bacterium. Its description in RNAcentral is "partial 16S ribosomal RNA". It matches the Rfam family "Bacterial small subunit ribosomal RNA", at positions 29 to 507 of the family's 1533-position model. The record is from RNAcentral.